RNAcentral lists this ribosomal RNA (497 nucleotides) under Vibrio sp. AER No.14. RNAcentral's name for it is "bacterial SSU rRNA". It matches the Rfam family "Bacterial small subunit ribosomal RNA", at positions 19 to 505 of the family's 1533-position model. Lineage: Bacteria; Pseudomonadati; Pseudomonadota; Gammaproteobacteria; Vibrionales; Vibrionaceae. The record is from RNAcentral.
CUGGCUCAGAUUGAACGCUGGCGGCAGGCCUAACACAUGCAAGUCGAGCGGCAGCACAGAGGAACUUGUUCCUUGGGUGGCGAGCGGCGGACGGGUGAGUAAUGCCUGGGAAAUUGCCCUGAUGUGGGGGAUAACCAUUGGAAACGAUGGCUAAUACCGCAUGAUGCCUACGGGCCAAAGAGGGGGACCUUCGGGCCUCUCGCGUCAGGAUAUGCCCAGGUGGGAUUAGCUAGUUGGUGAGGUAAUGGCUCACCAAGGCGACGAUCCCUAGCUGGUCUGAGAGGAUGAUCAGCCACACUGGAACUGAGACACGGUCCAGACUCCUACGGGAGGCAGCAGUGGGGAAUAUUGCACAAUGGGCGCAAGCCUGAUGCAGCCAUGCCGCGUGUAUGAAGAAGGCCUUCGGGUUGUAAAGUACUUUCAGUCGUGAGGAAGGUUGUAGUGUGAAUAGCACUAUGAUUUGACGUUAGCGACAGAAGAAGCACCGGCUAACUCCG